UGGGGAAUUUUGGACAAUGGGCGCAAGCCUGAUCCAGCCAUUCCGCGUGAGUGAAGAAGGCCUUCGGGUUGUAAAGCUCUUUCGCAAGGGAAGAAAACUUAUCCUCUAACAUAGGAUGAGGUUGACGGUACCUUGAUAAGAAGCACCGGCUAACUACGUGCCAGCAGCCGCGGUAAUACGUAGGGUGCGAGCGUUAAUCGGAAUUACUGGGCGUAAAGCGUGCGCAGGCUGUUUUGUAAGUCAGAUGUGAAAUCCCCGAGCUCAACUUGGGAACUGCGUUUGAAACUACAAGACUAGAAUAGGUCAGAGGGGGGUAGAAUUCCACGUGUAGCAGUGAAAUGCGUAGAGAUGUGGAGGAAUAUCAAUGGCGAAGGCAGCCCCCUGGGAUCAUAUUGACGCUCAUGCACGAAAGCGUGGGGAGCAAACA
Molecule: ribosomal RNA, 427 nt
Filed under: uncultured bacterium
Lineage: Bacteria
Description: bacterial SSU rRNA
Rfam family: Bacterial small subunit ribosomal RNA
Source: RNAcentral